Molecule: ribosomal RNA, 449 nt
Filed under: uncultured bacterium
Lineage: Bacteria
Description: partial 16S ribosomal RNA
Rfam family: Bacterial small subunit ribosomal RNA
Source: RNAcentral
AACGAACGCUGGCGGCAGGCCUAACACAUGCAAGUCGAACGCUGUAGCAAUACAGCGUGGCAGACGGGUGAGUAACGCGUGGGAACCUACCCUUUGGUUCGGAAUAGCUCAGGGAAACUUGAGUUAAUACCGGAUAAGCCCUGCGGGGGAAGGAUUUAUCGCCAAAGGAUGGGCCCGCGUCGGAUUAGCUAGUUGGUGGGGUAAAGGCCUACCAAGGCGACGCUACGUAGCCGGUCUGAGAGGAUGAUCAGCCACACUGGGACUGAGACACGGCCCAUACGCCUACGGGAGGCAGCAGUGGGGAAUAUUGGACAAUGGGGGCAACCCUGAUCCAGCCAUGCCGCGUGAGUGACGAAGGUUUUCGGACUGUAAAACUCUUUUGGCGGGGAAGAUAAUGACGGUACCCGCAGAAUAAGCCCCGGCUAACUUCGUGCCAGCAGCCGCCGUAA